Molecule: long non-coding RNA, 709 nt
Filed under: Equus asinus (donkey)
Lineage: Eukaryota; Metazoa; Chordata; Mammalia; Perissodactyla; Equidae
Description: lncRNA (ENSEASG00005025837.1)
Source: RNAcentral
CUUGGAUCUCACAGGUACAAAGUGGCGGAGGAGGUGUUCAAACAGCUCCAUCUCGCCCCAGCCGCCGGCCUUGGACCCCUAAACUCUACAGGAGGAAAAACAUACUCCUGAAUUUGAAAAAACAACCUAUGAUUCACCCUGGAGUGACUCUGCGAGAGGGCCAGGCAAAGGUCCACUCCCCGACCCGUGCUGGGAGGGCAAGCCGAGAGCUGCCCAUGUCGCAGGAUGAGAUCCCAGCUCCUAUUCUGACUUAUCGAACAUAUCCAGCUCCUCGGGUUUCUCAGAGCUCUCCUGCCAACUGCAGCAACCACAGGCGGAUCCCGCCUUGAGCACAGCCCAGAUGUGGAAGCGCGAGCUGGUUACUCCCUCUCCAUGUGUCUGCCAAGCUGAUAUAUCCUCGCUUUCCACCCAGAGAGAGUGAGGGGGCUGAGAAAGACCUUGUGGGCCUACCUGCCCCUCCUUCCCCUGCCAGGUUUCUGUCACAUCCUAAAGGAGAUUUUCUGGGAAAGGGUUUUCCUGGCAGGGCCUGGGUGGAGCAGCCUGGUACAGCCCUCCGUGUCUGGCUCCCAGUGAGACUUUCCAGGGGGCCUGUGCUAGCCUCCCCUUCCUUCAGGUCCUGUAACGGACUCCCACAGAGUGCUCCUGCUUCAGAGGGUGGAGCCGAGGAGGCCCAGGACACCAGUGGAAAGGAGAUGAGCAGCCAUCUGAC